UACAGAGGUGGCAAGCGUUGUUCGGAAUUACUGGGCGUAAAGGGCGCGUAGGCGGCCUUGUCAGUCAGACGUGAAAUCCCCAGGCUUAACCUGGGAACUGCGUCUGAUACUACAAGGCUGGAGUUCGGGAGAGGAAUGUGGAAUUCCCAGUGUAGAGGUGAAAUUCGUAGAUAUUGGGAAGAACACCGGUGGCGAAGGCGGCUAUCUGGCCCGUAAUUGACGCUGAGGCGCGAAAGCGUGGGGAGCAAACAGG
This 253-nucleotide ribosomal RNA is filed under the name uncultured bacterium. RNAcentral describes it as "partial 16S ribosomal RNA". It matches the Rfam family "Bacterial small subunit ribosomal RNA", at positions 524 to 776 of the family's 1533-position model. The record is from RNAcentral.